UACAGGGGGGGCAAGCGUUGUUCGGAAUUACUGGGCGUAAAGCGCACGCAGGUGGCUGAGUCAGUCGAUUGUGAAAGCCCUGGGCUUAACCUGGGAAUUGCAGUCGAUACUACUCAGCUAGAGUAUGGGAGAGGGCAGUGGAAUUCCCGGUGUAGCGGUGAAAUGCGUAGAUAUCGGGAGGAACAUCAGUGGCGAAGGCGGCUGCCUGGCCCAAUACUGACACUCAGGUGCGACAGCGUGGGGAGCAAACAGG
RNAcentral lists this ribosomal RNA (253 nucleotides) under uncultured bacterium. Its description in RNAcentral is "partial 16S ribosomal RNA". It matches the Rfam family "Bacterial small subunit ribosomal RNA", at positions 524 to 776 of the family's 1533-position model. The record is from RNAcentral.